GUCGAGCGGUAGAGAGAAGCUUGCUUUUCUUGAGAGCGGCGGACGGGUGAGUAAUGCCUAGGAAUCUGCCUGGUAGUGGGGGAUAACGUUCGGAAACGGACGCUAAUACCGCAUACGUCCUACGGGAGAAAGCAGGGGACCUUCGGGCCUUGCGCUAUCAGAUGAGCCUAGGUCGGAUUAGCUAGUUGGUGAGGUAAUGGCUCACCAAGGCGACGAUCCGUAACUGGUCUGAGAGGAUGAUCAGUCACACUGGAACUGAGACACGGUCCAGACUCCUACGGGAGGCAGCAGUGGGGAAUAUUGGACAAUGGGCGAAAGCCUGAUCCAGCCAUGCCGCGUGUGUGAAGAAGGUCUUCGGAUUGUAAAGCACUUUAAGUUGGGAGGAAGGGCAGUAAAUUAAUACUUUGCUGUUUUGACGUUACCGACAGAAUAAGCACCGGCUAACUCUGUGCCAGCAGCCGCGGUAAU
RNAcentral lists this ribosomal RNA (468 nucleotides) under uncultured bacterium. RNAcentral's name for it is "bacterial SSU rRNA". It matches the Rfam family "Bacterial small subunit ribosomal RNA", at positions 61 to 524 of the family's 1533-position model. The record is from RNAcentral.